GCAAGGGCGGCGCAUGCGCACCGCGGAGGGGCGGGCCGGCGACGGCAACCGCGGAGGGAACGGGUCCCGGCUUCGGGGUCUGGGGCGCACAGAGACGGAGCGUCGCCGGCUGCUGCCUGGCAGGACCCGAGGGAGUUACUUAAUUUUCAAUAAUUGGAAAGCUAUGCCAAGAGGGAAUACCGCCAAGUUUUACACGCACUGCUUUGCCGUCAGUACCAGGAAUGGGACAAAUUGAAGGGAAUUUUAGGUAAGAGAUUGGCUACAUUCCAAGGCUAUUUCCCACUUGUUCUGAAACAUGGUACAGGUAAAAAAUGUGGGCUGACAGCCAGUCAUUUCUAUCGAAUUAGAAGUCAGUGUACAUAUCCUUUAUAUAAGGUUAAAAGAUCCUGGAACAGAAGGUUUUAUAAUAGUCCUACCACAUCAGUUUCACUACAGACAACAAAACAAUCACAAAACACUGAAUAAGGCCAAAGUCUUUUUUUGCUCAUCUUGUUGUGUCUUUAUUUUUUUUAUUUUUUGUCUUUUUUGCCUUUUCUAGGGCUGCUCCCGCAGCAUAUGGAGGUUCCCAGGCUAGGGGUCGAAUCGGAGCUGUAGCCGCCGGCCUACGCCAGAGCCACAGCCACGCGGGAUCCGAGCCGCGUCUGCAACCUACACCACAGCUCACGGCAACGCCGGAUCGUGAAUCCACUGAGCAAGGGCAGGGAUCGAAGCCACAACCUCAUGGUUCCUAGUCGGAUUCGUUAACCACUGCGCCACGACGGAACUCCUUUAUUUUUAAUUAUAGUUGAUUUACAAUGUCGUAUGCAAAUAAUUCUAAUGAAUAGGAGAGUCUCUGAAAUUAUCACCUGGUAUAACGGCAUAUUAAAAUAUUCGAUUUUUCCUCAGACUUGUCAUCGAUGGGCUAAAUGGAUAACAUUUGGGGAAGUCACAGGAAAAUCAUAAGCCUGGUAAUAUCGGCAUGACUUACCAAAAUCAAAUAGGCCUUGUUCUUUCAUGGUCAUGGGUGUUUAAACCCUUGGUGGGUGACCGGGUCUUAAUGCAGUGCUGUACCAACAAGAUGACCUACUUUUCAGGACAGUGAGGCUGCAUCGACACCAUGGCCGAGCUGCUCUUUGCCCCACUCUUGACGCACCGUCCAGAGUGGGCUCGCGAGGUCAGUCCUGUGCAGGGACUGGACAGGCGGGACCCAGGUGCUCCUGUACCCCAGCCGCCUCAGUGCCACAUGUCCGCAGCCC
Molecule: long non-coding RNA, 1235 nt
Filed under: Sus scrofa (pig)
Lineage: Eukaryota; Metazoa; Chordata; Mammalia; Artiodactyla; Suidae
Description: lncRNA (ENSSSCG00070014529.1)
Source: RNAcentral